GAUGAACGCUGGCGGCGUGCCUAAUACAUGCAAGUCGAGCGAACGGACGAGAAGCUUGCUUCUCUGAUGUUAGCGGCGGACGGGUGAGUAACACGUGGAUAACCUACCUAUGAGACUGGGAUAACUUCGGGAAACCGUAGCUAAUACCGGAUAAUAUUUUGAACCGCAUUGUUCAAAAGUGAAAGACGGUCUUUCUGUUACUUAUAGAUGGAUCCGCGCUGCAUUAGCUAGUUGGUAAGGUAACGGCUUACCAAGGCAACGAAGCAUAGCCGACCUGAGAGGGUGAUCGGCCACACGGGAACUGAGAAACGGUCCAGACUCCUACGGGAGGCAGCAGUAGGGAAUCUUCCGCAAUGGGCGAAAGCCUGACGGAGCAACGCCGCGUGAGUGAUGAAGGUCUUCGGAUCGUAAAACUCUGUUAUUAGGGAAGAACAUAUGUGUAAGUAACUGUGCACAUCUUGACGGUACCUAAUCAGAAAGCCACGGCUAACUACGUG
This 497-nucleotide ribosomal RNA is filed under the name uncultured bacterium. RNAcentral describes it as "partial 16S ribosomal RNA". It matches the Rfam family "Bacterial small subunit ribosomal RNA", at positions 28 to 507 of the family's 1533-position model. The record is from RNAcentral.